CCUGGCAUCCCGUUUGGACCUCUCUGUUCUUGGUCUGGUGCUGAAUCACCGACUGCCGGUUCAGUCUUGAUCCAACCUGUUUCCCAGCUCAUUAAAGCUGCAGCAGCUGCAGCAGCAGCGCUGCAUCAGCUGGGUCGACCCAGUCCCACUCUGCAGCCCCGCAGCUACUGAGCACGCUCAGUUAGUCUCAGCAUGCCUAGAAAGUGAAUAAAGAAAGUAUCCUGGCUUCCUGGAGCCUGAUGCACCUGAUCAACCAGGUAACCUGGAGAAACACCAGCUAAUGUUCCUCCUGUCAUCAUAAAUCAAACGUUUAUCCGUCUGCACGGCAGCUCAGGCGACCCGUCUGGACCGGCGCAGACGAAUCUGGAGUGUGAUGAUCCUGCACCCUUUCACCUCUGCGCUCUGACACAGCGUAGGAAUCCAUUCAACGCCUCACAAGUGCUCUCUGGCCCGUGAUGUUGCUGCCGGUUUUCUGCUCUCUCCGCCGUGAUGAGCAGCAUCAGCCGCUGCGGCUCCUCUCACAUUAAAGCGUUUCAUGUUGUGGGAACCGGUCCAGAAACACGGCGGCGCCGGCGGCAGAACCUCCAGGCUGUCCGGGUCUCAGAGUCCCGGAUCCGAUCCUGGAUCGAAACGCUGUAAAUUCUUCACCAUCUCCUGUUUGUAGCUUCAAAACUAUAAAACAGCUCAUGUUGUUCUGCUGUGUUAUGGAUCAGAACCGCUGGCCCAGCUCUGUGCUGGUGUUUAUGAACCGUUUGUGUCUGAUUGUUUAUUGUUGUUUGGUUUAUUGCUGGUGAAAAACGUAACUAUUUUAAUGCAACUAUGAAUUGACAAACACUUUGAG
Molecule: long non-coding RNA, 841 nt
Organism: Poecilia reticulata (guppy)
Lineage: Eukaryota; Metazoa; Chordata; Actinopteri; Cyprinodontiformes; Poeciliidae
Source: RefSeq, a predicted model, not a curated record